UCUGACCUCAAAUCAGGUAGGACUACCCGCUGAACUUAAGCAUAUCAAUAAGCGGAGAAAAGAAACUAACAAGGAUUCCCCUA
This 83-nucleotide ribosomal RNA is filed under the name Amanita sp. 'chiricahuana'. RNAcentral's name for it is "partial 28S ribosomal RNA". It matches the Rfam family "Eukaryotic large subunit ribosomal RNA", at positions 1 to 82 of the family's 3401-position model. Lineage: Eukaryota; Fungi; Basidiomycota; Agaricomycetes; Agaricales; Amanitaceae. The record is from RNAcentral.